GUGAGUCAUCGAGUCUUUGAACGCACCUUGCGCUCCAUGGUAUUCCGUGGAGCAUGCCUGUUUGAGUGUCACGUCAACCCUCAUUCAUGCGAUGUCACAAUCGCAUGUAUGGAUUUGGACCGUGUCGUAAUCCGACUCGUCCCGAAAUGCAUUAGCUUUGCGCUUUUAGAGUGCCGGGCACCGGUGUGAUAAUUAUCUGCGCCAACGCCUUACGCCUCUUCAGCGGCGCUGCUUACAGCCGUCCUGACGGACAACUAUUUUAAAGCUUUGGCCUCAAAUCAGGUAGGACUACCCGCUGAACUUAA
Molecule: ribosomal RNA, 305 nt
Filed under: uncultured fungus
Lineage: Eukaryota; Fungi
Description: eukaryotic LSU rRNA
Rfam family: 5.8S ribosomal RNA (bases 1-71)
Source: RNAcentral